RNAcentral lists this ribosomal RNA (154 nucleotides) under uncultured Gammaproteobacteria bacterium. Its description in RNAcentral is "partial 16S ribosomal RNA". Lineage: Bacteria; Pseudomonadati; Pseudomonadota; Gammaproteobacteria. The record is from RNAcentral.
GGGUACCGUCAGAACGACCGGGUAUUAACCGACCGCUUUUCUUUCCCAACAAAAGUGCUUUACAACCCGAAGGCCUUCUUCACACACGCGGCAUGGCUGGAUCAGGCUUGCGCCCAUUGUCCAAUAUUCCCCACUGCUGCCUCCCGUAGGAGUA